GCAGCGUUGAUAUGUCUGGUAUUCUUGGGUUGAACUAGUGCAACCAGCAUAUCGGACAUGUCGCCGUUGC
This is a non-coding RNA of Syphacia muris, 70 nucleotides long. The record is from Rfam. NCBI's taxonomy places the organism in Eukaryota, Metazoa, Nematoda, Chromadorea, Rhabditida, Oxyuridae.